UUGGGUUUAAAGGGUCCGUAGGUGGAUAAUUAAGUCAGAGGUGAAAUCCUGCAGCUCAACUGUAGAAUUGCCUUUGAAACUGGUUAUCUUGAGUCAUUAUGAAGUGGUUAGAAUGUGUAGUGUAGCGGUGAAAUGCAUAGAUAUUACACAGAAUACCGAUUGCGAAGGCAGAUCACUAAUAAUGUACUGACACUGAUGGACGAAAGCGUGGGUAGCGAACAGGAUUAGAUACCCUGGUAGUCCACGCCGUAAACGAUGGAUACUAGCUGUUCGGACUUCGGUCUGAGUGGCUAAGCGAAAGUGAUAAGUAUCCCACCUGGGGAGUACGUUCGCAAGAAUGAAACUCAAAGGAAUUGACGGGGGCCCGCACAAGCGGUGGAGCAUGUGGUUUAAUUCGAUGAUACGCGAGGAACCUUACCAGGGCUUAAAUGUAAGUUGCAUAGAUCAGAGAUGGUCUUUUCUUCGGACUACUUACAAGGUGCUGCAUGGUUGUCGUCAGCUCGUGCCGUGAGGUGUCAGGUUAAGUCCUAUAACGAGCGCAACCCCUGUUGUUAGUUGCCAGCGAGUCAAGUCGGGAACUCUAACAAGACUGCCGGUGCAAACCGUGAGGAAGGUGGGGAUGACGUCAAAUCAUCACGGCCCUUACGUCCUGGGCUACACACGUGCUACAAUGGUAGGUACAGAGAGCAGCCACUUCGCGAGAAGGAGCGAAUCUAU
RNAcentral lists this ribosomal RNA (717 nucleotides) under uncultured Bacteroidota bacterium. RNAcentral describes it as "bacterial SSU rRNA". It matches the Rfam family "Bacterial small subunit ribosomal RNA", at positions 554 to 1276 of the family's 1533-position model. Lineage: Bacteria; Pseudomonadati; Bacteroidota. The record is from RNAcentral.